CCUACGGGUGACAGCAGUGGGGAAUAUUGCACAAUGGGGGAAACCCUGAUGCAGCGACGCCGCGUGAGCGAUGAAGGAUUUCGGUAUGUAAAGCUCUAUCAGCAGGGAAGAAAAUGACGGUACCUGACGAAUAAGACCCGGCGAACUACGUGCCAGCAGCCGCGGUAAUACGUAGGGUGCAAGCGUUAUCCGGAUUUACUGGGUGUAAAGGGAGCGUAGACGGCGGUGCAAGCCAGCUGUGAAAGCCCGGGGCUCAACCCCGGGACUGCAUUUGGAACUGUGCUGCUAGAGUGUCGGAGAGGUAGGCGGAAUUCGUAGUGUAGCGGUGAAAUGCGUAGAUAUUAGGAGGAACACCAGUGGCGAAGGCGACCUGCUGGACGAUGACUGACGUUGAGGCUCGAAAGCGUGGGGAGCGAACAGGAUUAGAUACCCUGGUAGUC
This 440-nucleotide ribosomal RNA is filed under the name uncultured bacterium. RNAcentral's name for it is "partial 16S ribosomal RNA". It matches the Rfam family "Bacterial small subunit ribosomal RNA", at positions 338 to 795 of the family's 1533-position model. The record is from RNAcentral.